This is a small nuclear RNA of Panthera pardus (leopard), 92 nucleotides long. NCBI's taxonomy places the organism in Eukaryota, Metazoa, Chordata, Mammalia, Carnivora, Felidae. The record is from Ensembl.
GUUCUCACUCCAGCAACACAUAUACUAAAAUUGGAAUGGCAUGGCCCCUGAACAAGGCUGACAUGUAAAUUAAUGGAGCGUUCAAUAUCUUU